AGCAAAUCUGCGGUCGAGGAUGCUAUCAUCUUUCUCUCGUUUAAAACUGGAAAAGUAAGACUGAGUUUUCGAUACCAAGAUUUGAAGAAAAAUCCAACAACUCAUGAUUUGCAUUUCAGUUUCGCCAUGGGAUCAGAGGUGCUUAUUUGAGCUUGGCCAUUUAAUUUUUAUCUGCGAGUCUAGAUGAUGGAUGUAUGAUUUGCAUUUCAGUUUCGCCAUGGGAUCAGAGGUGCUUAUUUGAGCUUGGCCAUUUAAUUUUUAUCUGCGAGUCUAGAUGAUGGAUGU
RNAcentral lists this unclassified non-coding RNA (285 nucleotides) under Hevea brasiliensis (rubber tree). Lineage: Eukaryota; Viridiplantae; Streptophyta; Magnoliopsida; Malpighiales; Euphorbiaceae. The record is from RNAcentral.